UACGUAGGGUGCGAGCGUUGCCCGGAAUUAUUGGGCGUAAAGGGCGCGUAGGCGGCUUGACAAGUCAAAGGUGAAAUCCCUCGGCUCAACUGAGGAACUGCCUUUGAAACUGUCUGGCUUGAGGCCGGGAGGGGGUAGCGGAAUUCCCAGUGUAGCGGUGAAAUGCGUAGAUACUGGGAGGAACACCAGUGGCGAAGGCGGCUACCUGGACCGGUUCUGACGCUGAGGCGCGAAAGCGUGGGUAGCAAACAGG
This 253-nucleotide ribosomal RNA is filed under the name uncultured bacterium. Its description in RNAcentral is "partial 16S ribosomal RNA". It matches the Rfam family "Bacterial small subunit ribosomal RNA", at positions 524 to 776 of the family's 1533-position model. The record is from RNAcentral.